Molecule: ribosomal RNA, 629 nt
Filed under: uncultured bacterium
Lineage: Bacteria
Description: bacterial SSU rRNA
Rfam family: Bacterial small subunit ribosomal RNA
Source: RNAcentral
UUGCUUCUCUUGAGAGCGGCGGACGGGUGAGUAAUGCCUAGGAAUCUGCCUGGUAGUGGGGGAUAACGUCCGGAAACGGACGCUAAUACCGCAUACGUCCUACGGGAGAAAGCAGGGGACCUUCGGGCCUUGCGCUAUCAGAUGAGCCUAGGUCGGAUUAGCUAGUUGGUGGGGUAAUGGCUCACCAAGGCGACGAUCCGUAACUGGUCUGAGAGGAUGAUCAGUCACACUGGAACUGAGACACGGUCCAGACUCCUACGGGAGGCAGCAGUGGGGAAUAUUGGACAAUGGGCGAAAGCCUGAUCCAGCCAUGCCGCGUGUGUGAAGAAGGUCUUCGGAUUGUAAAGCACUUUAAGUUGGGAGGAAGGGCAGUAAAUUAAUACUUUGCUGUUUUGACGUUACCGACAGAAUAAGCACCGGCUAACUCUGUGCCAGCAGCCGCGGUAAUACAGAGGGUGCAAGCGUUAAUCGGAAUUACUGGGCGUAAAGCGCGCGUAGGUGGUUCGUUAAGUUGGAUGUGAAAUCCCCGGGCUCAACCUGGGAACUGCAUUCAAAACUGACGAGCUAGAGUAUGGUAGAGGGUGGUGGAAUUUCCUGUGUAGCGGUGAAAUGCGUAGAUAUAGGAAGGA